RNAcentral lists this ribosomal RNA (728 nucleotides) under uncultured Staphylococcus sp. Its description in RNAcentral is "bacterial SSU rRNA". It matches the Rfam family "Bacterial small subunit ribosomal RNA", at positions 58 to 768 of the family's 1533-position model. Lineage: Bacteria; Bacillati; Bacillota; Bacilli; Caryophanales; Staphylococcaceae. The record is from RNAcentral.
CAAGUCGAGCGAACAGACGAGGAGCUUGCUCCUCUGACGUUAGCGGCGGACGGGUGAGUAACACGUGGAUAACCUACCUAUAAGACUGGGAUAACUUCGGGAAACCGGAGCUAAUACCGGAUAAUAUAUUGAACCGCAUGGUUCAAUAGUGAAAGACGGUUUUGCUGUCACUUAUAGAUGGAUCCGCGCCGCAUUAGCUAGUUGGUAAGGUAACGGCUUACCAAGGCAACGAUGCGUAGCCGACCUGAGAGGGUGAUCGGCCACACUGGAACUGAGACACGGUCCAGACUCCUACGGGAGGCAGCAGUAGGGAAUCUUCCGCAAUGGGCGAAAGCCUGACGGAGCAACGCCGCGUGAGUGAUGAAGGUCUUCGGAUCGUAAAACUCUGUUAUUAGGGAAGAACAAAUGUGUAAGUAACUAUGCACGUCUUGACGGUACCUAAUCAGAAAGCCACGGCUAACUACGUGCCAGCAGCCGCGGUAAUACGUAGGUGGCAAGCGUUAUCCGGAAUUAUUGGGCGUAAAGCGCGCGUAGGCGGUUUUUUAAGUCUGAUGUGAAAGCCCACGGCUCAACCGUGGAGGGUCAUUGGAAACUGGAAAACUUGAGUGCAGAAGAGGAAAGUGGAAUUCCAUGUGUAGCGGUGAAAUGCGCAGAGAUAUGGAGGAACACCAGUGGCGAAGGCGACUUUCUGGUCUGUAACUGACGCUGAUGUGCGAAAGCGUGGGGAU